GCCAGGUGUGGUGACACGCACCUGUAGUCCCAGCUACUUGGGAGGCUGAGGCAGGAGGAUCACUUGGGCUUAGGAGUUUCAGGCUGCAGUGAGCUAUAAUCAUAGCACUGCAUUCCAGCCUGAGUGAUGGAGUGAGACCCUGACUCUU
RNAcentral lists this non-coding RNA (148 nucleotides) under Homo sapiens (human). The record is from Rfam by way of RNAcentral. Lineage: Eukaryota; Metazoa; Chordata; Mammalia; Primates; Hominidae.